GACUCUCCCAGCAUGACAACUGGAGAUCUUCUUUCCCUUCCCUCCUAUUCUUUAGGACUUCUUGAAUUCAGACUCCAGUCCUGGGCUCCUGAACAAAUAUUCUGCUUUGGAUUUAGUGUUUUAUUGAUGCAGAUUCCAGCCAACGAGGAAUGGCCUCAUAUGAUGAAUUCCUGGGGCAGGGGUAUGAGUAAAUUUUGCAGUUGCCAGGGUUCAAGAGUCUACCAUGUCUGCUGAGGGUGAUCACCAGGUCCCUGGGGAUGGAGCAGCCUUGCCCUUUUACCAGGUCCUGGGUUCAAAUCUUGGUCCUCUGGCUCAUCUGCCUGAGGAUGGAACAAGAGAGAAUGUGCAGAAUACAGGGCAUCACUCAGGAAUUCCUGACAGUAAGAGGCAACUGCAUUCAUUCUAGGAGCAUAUACUUGGAACUGGAAGGGAACUUGGAGAUCAUUUUACAGAUGAGGAAACUGAAGAGGAAAGUGAAGUGACUUAGCCAAGGUCUUCUGACCCCAAGUUCUAUCCUCUCCUCUAUUUCAAAGGGACUUUACCGAGCCUCUAGCCUGUGGCCUUGUCUACUCCAGGGGUGAUUUCUUAGCUGUAAGAGGACCCGGGUGGAAGAGACCCCGAGCACUGCGCACCUGAGAGUCUGGGGGAGUCUGGGAGACAAAGGGAACACCAGGCAAGACAUACAAAAAAAGACCUUGGGAGUCACAGAGGGAGCCGUGGGAGGCAGGCAGAGGAAGCCAGGUACAGGGAUGAUGCGGAGCUUGGGAGAAGGGUGAGGGGUCCCGUCCCAUCCCAGCUGGGCCAGGCCCUUUCAGAGAGGGAAUGGAGGAUGCCGGCACCAGGGAGACCCAGGGCCCCAUGCAGCCUCCGGGAGGCCCCCCAUCUGUGAACCCCGGGGGCACCCCCAGGGCUGCCAGUUCCGUCCCACCAUCACCGCCUCCCCAACAAACAAACAAACAAAAAACACAUCCAUAGCGGCGGCUGAGAGCCCAGGAACACGCACCAGGUGGUCUGGCCUGGGCGCUGCCUUCCCGUGCAUCCUCCCGGGCAGUGCCCUCGGCCGCCUCCCCCCCUUCCCCGCGGCUCCUGUAAUUGUAACGCCCGGAGGCGAAGGAGAGAUGGAGAGGAAAGACAGAGGAAUGAGAGACAGCCAAAGGGGUGGGAGGAGAGAGCAGGGAGGAGGGAGAGGAGAGGAGGAGGGGGAGGAGGAGGAGGAGGGGACCCAGGCAGCAGGCAGGCAGGCAGGCAGGCAGGGAGGGGAAGGAAGAGGAGGGAGGAGAGAAGGCAGAGCAGCAGCCGGGAGAGCACAGACAAGGAGCCGGGAGCUCAGCUGGGCAGCCAGAGAGGAGGCGCUGCAGACUAGCCGGGCCCCCGACUCGCACACACCGGCCUGGCUGGCCUUAGGCAGCCGCAGCGCCUGA
This 1421-nucleotide long non-coding RNA is filed under the name Monodelphis domestica (gray short-tailed opossum). RNAcentral describes it as "lncRNA (ENSMODG00000050048.1)". The record is from RNAcentral. Lineage: Eukaryota; Metazoa; Chordata; Mammalia; Didelphimorphia; Didelphidae.